ACCAUUUCGAAUUUUUAAUUUUUUUAAAUUAAAUAUUGUUAAGCUCAAAAAUUCUUUGCCCCAAUUUAACCAUCUUCGUAUGUCUUAUAGAAUCCGAGAUCUCCAUGUUGAGAGUCGAAUUUGAAACACCCUGUAUAUUGUUAAUCGAAAAGACACAAAAAGUAUUAAAAUAAACUGGUUGCAUAUCACAGAAAUUAAAACUCAAAAAGAGUAUCUUCACAAAAUAUUUAUAAAUAUGUAUCAUGAAGGUGAAGUAGAAGAAAAUGCGGUAGAUCAACAUCAGAAAUAUCUUAAUCUUUAUAAUCUUUCAAUUAAAGUUAAACUCGAUAAACAAAAUGUAAAAUAAUGUAAUACAAAAAUAUCAAUAUCUGAUCAAGCAAUAUUUUCGCUUAUAAAACCUAAUUUUUCCGAUUUAUUAACAGAAAACUGAUUUAUACAAAUUUACUUUUGAUUAUACACAAAAAAGGAAAAUUCUGAUCAUUAGUCAUUUAUUUAACAAAGCCUAUAGUUCAAAUAGUUUUUUCAGUUUAGGUGCUAAAAGAAAUACAGACAUAUAUUGUUGAACCAUUAACAUUUCUAUGUUGACCAGUACAAUCCCACCUGACCUAAAAAAAUCCGUUGUUAUACCUAUCCAUAAAAGGAAACAAUCUCACCUACCAGGCAACUACCGACCAAUCUCAAUAAUAAACAAUAUAGUCAUAACUACUAGAGGUAUGUAUAAGAGAUAAAAUAACAAAAUACAUAGAAAAACAUAACAUUCUUUCGCCGAAUCAGUUUGGGUUUCGCCAAGGGAUAUCAAGGGAAGACGCAGUUUAUGAGAUUUGGUAAAGGCGUUCGAUACUGUUAGUCAUAUUAUUCUUCUAGAAAAGCUUGAAGUUUAUGGUAUGAGGGGUUUGGCUCAAAAUUUAAUUUAAGAAACUAUCUUGAAGAUCGACGGCAGUGUGUAGGAAUUGGAAAUGAGCAAAGUACUUAUAAAAUAGUGCAAUAUGGUGUACCGCAAGGUAGACUAAUCUCGUAUGCAAAUGACACUGUACAAAGCGACAAAUGGAGCGACACAGUCGAGCAUAUUAUACGUGAAUUCGCAAAAGUUCAUCAAUGGUUGGGAGAGAAUAAAUUAACAAUAAAUAUGGAUAAAACAAAAUUUAUGUGUUUUAGUAUUCUUGACAAUUAUCAAUAUGAAGCCGAAGAAA
This is a long non-coding RNA of Anthonomus grandis grandis, 1190 nucleotides long. RefSeq lists it as uncharacterized. The transcript has 3 exons. The record is from RefSeq and is a predicted model, not a curated record. NCBI's taxonomy places the organism in Eukaryota, Metazoa, Arthropoda, Insecta, Coleoptera, Curculionidae.